GUUCAAUCCCAUUUCUGAAGGUCUGAUGAAUAAUUAAUAUUGAUUUCCUCUUCCUUGUGGCAGGCUCAGCAGCACACUGCCCUCCAAAGCCUGCAAAAUAAUUGCCGGACUGCCCCUUUCCUAGCUCUGCAUGGAACAUCCAGUGUCACGUCCUUGGUGACGUGGGGGGUGACAUCCGGGAUGACCACAGCAACAUCCUCUGGAAAGUGAAAAAAAGAGGAACAGAAUGUAAGCAAAUGCAAACCGUAGCUUCAAAACACUGGCCAGUUGAAAGGUUCUACUAAGAUGUCAUGACAAACGGCACCUGUCAGAGUGCUCUCUAAGUGUUACUCACCUGCUUGGAUGUCAGCUGGCAGAGUGGCGAAGACGGCCAUCGUGAGAGUCCUUUCUUCAGGUGUGACGUCCACAACCUCCAAGAGGGAAGAGAUGGGCUCUGCCUCUGUAUUAGGGGUGAUGUCCACCACAUUCAGGUUGGAAGAAGCCGGAUCUGCCUCUGUGUUAGUGGUGAUGUCCACCACAUUCAGGUUGGAAGAAGCCGGGUCUGUGUUAUGGGUGACAACAACAAUCCUGAUGAGCUCUACUACUACAAGGCACCUAGAUGUCAUCGGAACAGGCAUCUGUCAGAGUGCUCUCUAUCAUUGCUACUCACCUGCUUGGAUGCCAGCUGGUAGUGUGGUGGAAACGGCCACCGCGAGGACAGGGGGGACUGGUAGGGUGGCUGCAGGGGGCUGGAAGCAGCUCUGCACCUCGUCCGCCACAAAGGCACAGACAGAGCUCAUAUAAAAAGGGCUCUGGAGGUCAUCGGUGGAGAAGGACUGACUGAUUCUCCC
Long non-coding RNA from Oncorhynchus tshawytscha (Chinook salmon), 830 nucleotides. The record is from Ensembl. Lineage: Eukaryota; Metazoa; Chordata; Actinopteri; Salmoniformes; Salmonidae.